GUAAUGUCUGGGAAACUGCCUGAUGGAGGGGGAUAACUACUGGAAACGGUGGCUAAUACCGCAUAACGUCGCAAGACCAAAGAGGGGGACCUUCGGGCCUCUUGCCAUCAGAUGUGCCCAGAUGGGAUUAGCUUGUUGGUGAGGUAACGGCUCACCAAGGCGACGAUCCCUAGCUGGUCUGAGAGGAUGACCAGCCACACUGGAACUGAGACACGGUCCAGACUCCUACGGGAGGCAGCAGUGGGGAAUAUUGCACAAUGGGCGCAAGCCUGAUGCAGCCAUGCCGCGUGUAUGAAGAAGGCCUUCGGGUUGUAAAGUACUUUCAGCGGGGAGGAAGGUGUUGUGGUUAAUAACCACAGCAAUUGACGUUACCCGCAGAAGAAGCACCGGCUAACUCCGUGCCAGCAGCCGCGGUAAUACGGAGGGUGCAAGCGUUAAUCGGAAUUACUG
This 450-nucleotide ribosomal RNA is filed under the name Salmonella enterica. RNAcentral describes it as "bacterial SSU rRNA". It matches the Rfam family "Bacterial small subunit ribosomal RNA", at positions 110 to 556 of the family's 1533-position model. The record is from RNAcentral. Lineage: Bacteria; Pseudomonadati; Pseudomonadota; Gammaproteobacteria; Enterobacterales; Enterobacteriaceae.